Homo sapiens (human) is the source of this 401-nucleotide long non-coding RNA. RefSeq lists it as uncharacterized. The record is from RefSeq and is a predicted model, not a curated record. Lineage: Eukaryota; Metazoa; Chordata; Mammalia; Primates; Hominidae. The transcript is spliced from 4 exons.
UACCCUUUUCCCUUCAAGGUGGGUUUUAUGAAGAUUUCCCCCUCCACCUAUCCUGAUACCAAGAACUGGAUUUGGCAUUGGUUUUAAGUUGCUCAGAUGAAGAUUCAAGGCUCAGAGGGAAGAAACUUCCCAGGCAUCAUACAGUUGGUCAGUGUUAGAGCCAGAAUUUAAAGUCCACUCUGUUAUACCGUUCUGAUAUUCUAAUCACUUUGAUUCCCUGCUGUUCCUGCCCAAGGCUCCUGCAGAUGCCAGGCACCUCUUAUGCUCAGUCAAGGAAGGUCUGUCAGCUUCUAUCAGCACAAAGGAGCAACCCAGUUAAGCAAGGUCAGAAGACUCUGAGGCAGCAGACAACUGGGGAAAGGGGAGAAUAGAUAUCUAAAAUCUAAGAAAGACAGUGUUUA